Molecule: ribosomal RNA, 551 nt
Filed under: uncultured bacterium
Lineage: Bacteria
Description: bacterial SSU rRNA
Rfam family: Bacterial small subunit ribosomal RNA
Source: RNAcentral
UGGGGAAUAUUGCGCAAUGGGCGAAAGCCUGACGCAGCGACGCCGCGUGGGUGAUGAAGGCCUUCGGGUCGUAAAACCCUGUCGGGUGGAACGAAUCUCCUCCCCUCUAAUACAGGAGAGGAUUGACGGUACCACCGAAGGAAGCCCCGGCUAACUACGUGCCAGCAGCCGCGGUAAUACGUAGGGGGCGAGCGUUGUUCGGAUUUACUGGGCGUAAAGAGCGCGUAGGUGGUUCGAUGAGUCGGAGGUGAAAUCCCUCGGCUUAACCGAGGACCCGCGUCCGAUACUGUCGAACUUGAGUGCAGGAGAGGAGAGCGGAAUUCCCAGUGUAGCGGUGAAAUGCGUAGAUAUUGGGAGGAACACCGGUGGCGAAGGCGGCUCUCUGGACUGUCACUGACACUGAGGCGCGAAAGCUAGGGGAGCAAACGGGAUUAGAUACCCCGGUAGUCCUAGCCGUAAACGAUGGGCACUAGGUGUGGGAGGUAUCGACCCCUUCCGUGCCGCAGCUAACGCAUUAAGUGCCCCGCCUGGGGAGUACGGCCGCAAGGUUG